RNAcentral lists this long non-coding RNA (270 nucleotides) under Elaeis guineensis (African oil palm). RNAcentral describes it as "long non-coding RNA (EGUI_LNC037718)". Lineage: Eukaryota; Viridiplantae; Streptophyta; Magnoliopsida; Arecales; Arecaceae. The record is from RNAcentral.
ACUCCCUUUAAUCUUGCAUUUGGGACUAAGAUAGUCAUUCCUGUGGAGUUUGGACUCCCAUCUCUUAGAGUGGAAGAAUAUAAUAAAGAUAUCAACUCAGUGUGGCUCCAGACUAACCUUAACUUGAUCGAAGAAAGCAGGAAGUGUGCUGCUAUGAGGAUGGCCGCCUAUCGCCAAAGAAUGGCCAAGUAUUAUAAUGCCUGAGUCAAGAUCAAGGAGUUCCAAGCUAGCAACUUGAUAUUAUGGUGAGCUGAGAUAUCACAACCCACU